Molecule: RNase P RNA, 440 nt
Filed under: Candidatus Methylomirabilis limnetica
Lineage: Bacteria; Methylomirabilota (SeqCode); Methylomirabilia (SeqCode); Methylomirabilales (SeqCode); Methylomirabilaceae (SeqCode)
Description: RNase P RNA component class A
Rfam family: Bacterial RNase P class A
About the family: Ribonuclease P (RNase P) is a ubiquitous endoribonuclease, found in archaea, bacteria and eukarya as well as chloroplasts and mitochondria.
Source: RNAcentral
GAAGUCGGUCGGAUGACCGCCGGUUCGCCUUUGGCGGACGGGAGGAAAGUCCGGACUCCACAGGGUAGGGUGCUGGGUAACGCCCAGGGAGGGUGACCUCACGGACAGUGCCACAGAAAAGAUACCGCCCGCGCAGCAUCAUCGGCCGCUAGGUUUCGUUUCAAGCGUAGCCGAACGGCCCGUGGGUAAGGGUGAAAAGGUGCGGUAAGAGCGCACCAGCGGCAUGGUGACAUGCCGGCUUGGCAAACCCCACCCGGAGCAAGGCCAAAUAGGUUCCGCCCCAUCAUGCAGAGAGCGGCCCGCUCUCGUGUCCCUUUCGGGGCAGGCGGAACGGGUAGGCUGCUUGAGCCCGGCGGUAACGUCGGGCCUAGAGGAAUGGUCAUCCGGUCGGGCCGUAAGGUCCGGCCGUACAGGAUCCGGCUUACAGACCGACUUCGGCC